This 357-nucleotide long non-coding RNA is filed under the name Citrus sinensis (sweet orange). RNAcentral's name for it is "long non-coding RNA (CSIN_LNC005148)". The record is from RNAcentral. Lineage: Eukaryota; Viridiplantae; Streptophyta; Magnoliopsida; Sapindales; Rutaceae.
GGGAAUAUAGAAGCAGAGCAAGAAAGAAGAAAGCAGAACAAGUAGGAAGACAAGCAAGAAGCCAUAAAGAAGUCAAAAAGCCAAGAAGACAUAAAAAACCGAAGAUAAGCUGAAACAGAGAGUACUAGCAGCAGCAAACACAAAGAACAGCAGCUUAUUUGUUUGUUGAAACAGAGAGUACUAGCAGCAGCAAACACAAAGAACAGCAGCUUAUUUGUUUGUAACAACAGAACUGAUAUUUCCUACACUUCCAUAAUUUAAAUUUAUUAUACAUCAGGUUCAGGCGCUAGAUUUGAGCUUUUAUAGCUGAGUAAGUUAAUAUAAGAAAAAAAUUGAUUUUUUAUCAUUCUCUUUUCC